RNAcentral lists this ribosomal RNA (497 nucleotides) under uncultured bacterium. Its description in RNAcentral is "partial 16S ribosomal RNA". It matches the Rfam family "Bacterial small subunit ribosomal RNA", at positions 28 to 507 of the family's 1533-position model. The record is from RNAcentral.
GACGAACGCUGGCGGCGUGCCUAAUACAUGCAAGUUGAGCGCUUAAGGUUGGUACUUGUACCAACUGGAUGAGCAGCGAACGGGUGAGUAACGCGUGGGGAAUCUGCCUUUGAGCGGGGGACAACAUUUGGAAACGAAUGCUAAUACCGCAUAACAACUUUAAACACAAGUUUUAAGUUUGAAAGAUGCAAUUGCAUCACUCAAAGAUGAUCCCGCGUUGUAUUAGCUAGUUGGUGAGGUAAAGGCUCACCAAGGCGAUGAUACAUAGCCGACCUGAGAGGGUGAUCGGCCACAUUGGGACUGAGACACGGCCCAAACUCCUACGAGAGGCAGCAGUAGGGAAUCUUAGGCAAUGGACGAAAGUCUGACCGAGAAACGCCGCGAGAGUGAAGAAGGUUGUCGGAUCGUAAAACUCUGUUGGUAGAGAAGAACGUUGGUGAGAGUGGAAAGCUCAUCAAGUGACGGUAACUACCCAGAAAGGGACGGCUAACUACGUG